GACGAACGCUGGCGGCGCGCCUAACACAUGCAAGUCGAACGAGCGAGCGAGAGCUUGCUUUCUCAAGCGAGUGGCGAACGGGUGAGUAACGCGUGAGGAACCUGCCUCAAAGAGGGGGACAACAGUUGGAAACGACUGCUAAUACCGCAUAAGCCCACAGGUCGGCAUCGACCAGAGGGAAAAGGAGCAAUCCGCUUUGAGAUGGCCUCGCGUCCGAAUAGCUAGUUGGUGAGGUAACGGCCCACCAAGGCAACGAUCGGUAGCCGGACUGAGAGGUUGAACGGCCACAUUGGGACUGAGACACGGCCCAGACUCCUACGGGAGGCAGCAGUGGGGAAUAUUGCACAAUGGGGGAAACCCUGAUGCAGCGACGCCGCGUGGAGGAAGAAGGUCUUCGGAUUGUAAACUCCUGUUGUUGAGGAAGAUAAUGACGGUACUCAACAAGGAAGUGACGGCUAACUACGUG
This 466-nucleotide ribosomal RNA is filed under the name uncultured bacterium. RNAcentral describes it as "partial 16S ribosomal RNA". It matches the Rfam family "Bacterial small subunit ribosomal RNA", at positions 28 to 507 of the family's 1533-position model. The record is from RNAcentral.